UGGGGAAUUUUGGACAAUGGGCGAAAGCCUGAUCCAGCAAUGCCGCGUGUGUGAAGAAGGCCUUCGGGUUGUAAAGCACUUUUGUCCGGAAAGAAAUCCUCUGGGUUAAUACCUCGGGGGGUAUGACGGUACCGGAAGAAUAAGCACCGGCUAACUACGUGCCAGCAGCCGCGGUAAUACGUAGGGUGCAAGCGUUAAUCGGAAUUACUGGGCGUAAAGCGUGCGCAGGCGGUUUUGUAAGACGGAUGUGAAAUCCCCGGGCUUAACCUGGGAACUGCAUUCGUGACUGCAAGGCUAGAGUAUGGCAGAGGGGGGUUAGAAUUCCACGUGUGGCAGUGAAAUGCGUAGAGAUGUGGAGGAAUACCGAUGGCGAAGGCAGCCCCCUGGGCCAAUACUGACGCUCAUGCACGAAAGCGUGGGGAGCAAACAGGAUUAGAUACCCUGGUAGUCCACGCCCUAAACGAUGUCAACUAGUUGUUGGGGAUUCAUUUCCUUAGUAACGUAGCUAACGCGUGAAGUUGACCGCCUGGGGAGUACGGUCG
RNAcentral lists this ribosomal RNA (542 nucleotides) under uncultured bacterium. Its description in RNAcentral is "partial 16S ribosomal RNA". It matches the Rfam family "Bacterial small subunit ribosomal RNA", at positions 355 to 888 of the family's 1533-position model. The record is from RNAcentral.